GAAUUUUGCGCAAUGGGCGAAAGCCUGACGCAGCAACGCCGCGUGGAGGAUGAAGGUCCUUGGAUUGUAAACUCCUGUCAGCAGGGAAGAAAUGCUCUGACCUCAUACGUCAGGGAGUUGACUGUACCUGCAGAGGAAGCCCCGGCUAACUCUGUGCCAGCAGCCGCGGUAAUACAGAGGGGGCAAGCGUUAUUCGGAAUUAUUGGGCGUAAAGGGCGCGUAGGCGGCAAGGCAAGUGGAAGGUGAAAUCCCUCGGCUCAACUGAGGAACUGCCUUCCAAACUGCUCUGCUUGAGUCCGGGAGAGGUGAGUGGAAUUCCCAGUGUAGCGGUGAAAUGCGUAGAUAUUGGGAGGAACACCAGUGGCGAAGGCGGCUCACUGGACCGGAACUGACGCUGAUGCGCGAAAGCGUGGGGAGCAAACGGG
This 425-nucleotide ribosomal RNA is filed under the name uncultured bacterium. RNAcentral describes it as "bacterial SSU rRNA". It matches the Rfam family "Bacterial small subunit ribosomal RNA", at positions 359 to 776 of the family's 1533-position model. The record is from RNAcentral.